UUAUCACUAAUCAAGCACGGCUUGCUGUUGGACCUCAUGUCGUUAAAAAGACAGGCCCCAAAGAUAAUGACGGUGUCAGUUGGACCCCUAGAUGCAACGAGCUUUAACUAGCACGCAUUAUAGUGGCCUGUUGACCCGGUCUUUUUAACCAAUUUCUUAAGGUUGACCUCGGAUCAGGUAGGAAUACCCGCUGAACUUAA
Molecule: unclassified non-coding RNA, 200 nt
Filed under: soil metagenome
Description: partial contains internal transcribed spacer 2 and large subunit ribosomal RNA
Source: RNAcentral